GAUGAACGCUAGCGGCAGGCUUAAUACAUGCAAGUCGUGGGGCAGCAGGACUGUAGCAAUCCAGUUGCUGGCGACCGGCACACGGGUGCGGAACACGUACGCAACUUACCCUGAACUGGGGGAUAGCCCGGGGAAACCCAGAUUAAUACCCCGUAAUAUAAUGGCGUGGCAUCCCUUUAUUAUUAACGCUCCGGCGGUUCGGUAUGGGCGUGCGGUUGCUUAGGUAGUUGGUUGAGGUAACGGCUCACCAAGCCUACGAUCAGUAACUGGUGUGAGAGCACGACCAGUCGAACGGGCACUGAGACACGGGCCCGACUGCUACGGGAAGCAGCAGUAAGGAAUAUUGGGGAAUGGAGGCGACUCUGACCCAGCCAGGCAGCGUGGAGGAUGAAGGGACUCUGGGGUGUAAACUUCUGUUAUAGGGGACGAAACCUGUGUAUGCUUACGCAGUUGACGGUACCCUAGAAAUAAGCACCGGCUAACUCCGU
RNAcentral lists this ribosomal RNA (488 nucleotides) under uncultured bacterium. Its description in RNAcentral is "partial 16S ribosomal RNA". It matches the Rfam family "Bacterial small subunit ribosomal RNA", at positions 28 to 506 of the family's 1533-position model. The record is from RNAcentral.